GAAGGUUUGCUUAGAAGCAGCCAUCCUUUAAAGAGUGCGUAACAGCUCACUGAUCGAGAGGUCCUGCGCCGAAAAUGAACGGGGCUCAAGUGCGCAACCGAAGCUGCGGCUUGUCAAAGAUCGUUGAUCUUUGGCAGGGGUAGGGGAGCGUCCCAAACGGGUGAAGGGUGACGGCAACGACGCCUGGACGUUCUGGGAGUGAUUAUGCCGGAAUAAGUAGCGAUAAAGCAGGUGAGAAUCCUGCUCGCCGCAAACCCAAGGUUUCCUGGGCACGGUAAAUCCGCCCAGGGUUAGUCGGACCCUAAGGCGAGGCCGAAAGGCGUAGUCGAUGGAAGACAGGUUAAUAUUCCUGUACCAGCAAGGGCGCGUUACUACCGAUGGGGGGACGCGGGAAGAAAGGUGAUCGCACCGAUAGUCGUGUGCGUACAAGCUUGAGGGUGGCACGUAGGUAAAUCCGCGUGCGGAAGCCCAGGAGUGAUGUCGAGCCCAUUCGGGCGAAGUCACUGGACCAACCGCCGAGAAAAUCCUCUAGGGAGUUUCCUUGCUGUCCGUACCAAAACUGACACAGGUGGGUGAGGUGAAUAUCCUAAGGCGCUCGAGAGAACUGCUGUUAAGGAACUCGGCAAAAUAACCCCGUAACUUCGGGAUAAGGGGUGCCUCUGGUGGUGUAGUCCCUCGCGGAUGAAGCUGCUGGAGGUCGCAGGGAAUCGGCCCAAUCGACUGUUUACUAAAAACACAGGUCUGUGCUAAGUCAUAACGACGCCGUAUACAGACUGACGCGUGCCCAAUGCCGGAAGGUUAAGGGGAGGGGUCAGCGCAAGCGAAGCUCCGAACUGAAGCCCCGGUGAAUGGCGGCCGUAACUAUGACGGUCCUAAGGUAGCGAAGUUCCUUGUCGGGUAAGUUCCGACCCGCACGAAAGGCGUAACGAUCUGGGUGCUGUCUCGGAGAGAGACUCGGCGAAAUAGAAAUGUCUGUGAAGAUGCGGACUACUUACACCUGGACAGAAAGACCCUAUGAAGCUUUACUAUAACUUGGCGUUGGGUUCGGGUUUGUUUUGCGCAGUAUAAGUGGGAGGCGUUGAUCUUUUCUUUCCGGAGAAAAAUGAGCCAACAGUGAGAUACCACUCUAAGCAAGCUAGACCCCUAACUUUAUACCUUUAACAGGUUAGAGAACAGUGUCAGGCGGGUAGUUUUUCUGGGGCGGAAGCCUCCUAAAAGGUAACGGAGGCGUGCAAAGGUUUCCUCAGGCUGGACGGAAAUCAGCCGUAGAGUGUAAAGGCAGAAGGGAGCUUGACUGUGAGACUUACAAGUCGAGCAGGGACGAAAGUCGGCCUUAGUGAUCCGACGGUUCCGAGUGGAAGGGCCGUCGCUCAACGGAUAAAAGUUACUCUAGGGAUAACAGGCUAAUCUCCCUCAAGAGUUCACAUCGACAGGGAGGUUUGGCACCUCGAUGUCGGCUUAUCGCAACCUGGGGCGGAAGGGCGUCCCAAGGGUUGGGCUGUUCGCCCAUGAAAGCGGUACAUGAGCUGGGUUCAGAACGUCGUGAGACAGUUUGGUCCAUAUCCGGUGUAAGCGUUAGAGUAUUGAGAAGAGCCUUCCUUUGUACGAGAGGACCGGGAAGGACGCACCUCUGGUGUACCAGUUCUUUAAAAGGGAAACGCUGGGUAGCCAUGUGUGGUUCGGAUAACCGCUGAAAGCAUCUAAGCGGGAAGCCCCUUCCAAGAUGAGAUCUCCCUGGACCCUCGAGGUCCCUGAAGAGCCGUUCAAGACCAGGACGUUGAUAGGUCGGGUGUGUAAGCGCUGCGAGGCGUUGAGCUAACCGAUACUAAUUGCUCGUGCGGCUUGAC
This 1847-nucleotide ribosomal RNA is filed under the name uncultured Chlorophyceae. Its description in RNAcentral is "partial Bacterial large subunit ribosomal RNA". It matches the Rfam family "Bacterial large subunit ribosomal RNA", at positions 1096 to 2925 of the family's 2925-position model. The record is from RNAcentral. Lineage: Eukaryota; Viridiplantae; Chlorophyta; Chlorophyceae.